UGAGAAGUUCCAUUCUGAAAAUCCUUUGCUUCUAAAUGUGUGCAGAACUCUCUUCCCUGACAACCAUAAAUAUGUCUGGAGUGGACCUCGCGCACUGGUUCAGCGUGAAGGUUCCCGUCGUAGAAGUUGUAUUGAUGCUGCCAUUGAAAUUUUGAUGAAGUAGGUACGUUUUGAUUACUUCAGAUUGCCCCUACAAAGGAUCUGAAUCAAUCUUAUGCUUCGCCUGGAUCAAAUAUAAUGUUAUAGUGUGGCAUGUUUGACAUAAAUGCUUGCAUACAAAUGGAAUGUCUGGUAGUUGGUGGCUCUUCUCAGCUGAGAAUGGUAAUUUGCUUUAGUAUGGUCUUGAUUUACAAUCCCUAGUCAGCAUUUGUUGUGACCUUUUGGGUAUGUGGGAAGAUACACUGGUAUUUCUUGUUGUGAAUACACUUGGUAACUGUAAUGAUUUAAUAUUGAGCUAAGAUUUUUUAGUGUGUUAUUGCAGGAAACAAUCACUUGUAAAACUGUAAAUAGUUGAUCCUUUUUAUUUCCACACAUCUAUUUCUUUUCAUUUCUAAAUGAACAGCAG
This 565-nucleotide unclassified non-coding RNA is filed under the name Hevea brasiliensis (rubber tree). The record is from RNAcentral. Lineage: Eukaryota; Viridiplantae; Streptophyta; Magnoliopsida; Malpighiales; Euphorbiaceae.